Molecule: ribosomal RNA, 1265 nt
Filed under: metagenome
Description: bacterial SSU rRNA
Rfam family: Bacterial small subunit ribosomal RNA
Source: RNAcentral
AGCUUGUUGGUGAGGUAACGGCUCACCAAGGCUGUGAUGGGUAGCCGUGCUGAGAGGUUGUUCGGCCACACUGGGACUGAGACACUGCCCAGACUCCUACGGGAGGCUGCAGUCGAGGAUCUUUGUCAAUGGGCGCAAGCCUGAACAAGCGACGCCGCGUGAGCGAUGAAGGCCUUCGGGUCGUAAAGCUCUUUCAGCAGGGAAGAAUCAAUUGACGGUACCUGCAGAAGAAGCCCCGGCUAAUUACGUGCCAGCAGCCGCGGUAAUACGUAAGGGGCAAGCGUUGUUCGGAUUUACUGGGCGUAAAGGGUGCCUAGGCGGCAUAUUAAGUCGGAAGUGAAAUCCCCCGGUCCAACUGGGGAACUGCUUUCGAAACUGAUGUGCUUGAGUACGGGAGAGGAGAGCGGAAUUCUCGGUGUAGCGGUGGAAUGCGCAGAUAUCGAGAAGAACACUAGUGGCGAAGGCGGCUCUCUGGAACGAUACUGACGCUGAAGCACGAAAGCCAGGGGAGCAAACGGGAUUAGAUACCCCGGUAGUCCUGGCCCUAAACUAUGUACACUUGGUGUAGGAGGUAUCGACCCCUCCUGUGCCGAAGCUAACGCAUUAAGUGUACCGCCUGGGGAGUACAGUCGCAAGUCUGAAACUCAAAGGAAUUGACGGGGGCCCGCACAAGCGGUGGAGCAUGUGGUUCAAUUCGAUGCAACGCGAAGAACCUUACCAGGGCUUGACAUGCAGUUGCUAAUCCCGGGAAACCGGGACUCCUUCGAGGGUACUGCACAGGUGCUGCAUGGCUGUCGUCAGCUCGUGUCGUGAGAUGUUGGGUUAAGUCCCGCAACGAGCGCAACCCUUGUUGUUAGUUGCCAGCACGAAAGGUGGGCUCUCUAACAAGACUGCCGGUGUUAAACCGGAGGAAGGUGGGGAUGACGUCAAGUCAGCAUGGCCCUUACGUCCUGGGCGACACACGUGCUACAAUGGCCGGUACAGAGGGUUGCCAAACCGUGAGGUGGAGCCAAUCCCAGAAAGCCGGUCUCAGUUCGGAUUGGAGUCUGCAACUCGACUCCAUGAAGCUGGAAUCGCUAGUAAUGGCGUAUCAGCCACGACGCCGUGAAUACGUUCCCGGGCCUUGUACACACCGCCCGUCACAUCAUGAAAGCCUACUGUACCCGAAGUCGCUGGUCCAACCCGCAAGGGCGGAAGGUGCCUAAGGUAUGGUCGGUGAUUGGGAUGAAGUCGUAACAAGGUAGCCGUACCGGAAGGUGCGGCUG